CUAUUGGCAUCUUUGGAUGAAUUGCAAUGAUGGAAGUUAUCAAAAGCCGAUUGUGGCAUGGGAAUCUAAGCUACAUUGCGUGAAAGGAAUCCACAGAAACAACACGACAACAAAUGCACCUACAGUUAUAGUUGCAGUACAGAUUUUUAUUCAGCGGAGUCGAUUAAGAGACAUCUGAUCACGGCUGCUUAUUACGCACAGAACACUCAGCGAUUUCCUAAAAAUGUACUCUAAUGCCGCGAUUGAAAUGUGAGGAUGAUCGCGAGAGCUGCCUGCCAUCUGGGAAUGCAUUAUAUUAAAAUGAUAUUUUUAAUGUAAGUCGUUAGUUUAUAAAUUUGUAUUUAGAUAGUUGUUUCUGUUCAACAUAACUAAAGUAAUGUAAUACAGUUUAGUUUUUUUUUAUCAGAUGUGUUAUUUUCGCAUUGUUGGUCUUACUGUUUAUAUUAAUAAUUAGGGGCCGAUUUUAUGACCGUCCCACCUUCCUCGCGGACCCCAAAUAAUCAUGAACCACAGCAAGGAUAUUCAGAAGUCCGUACGUUACGUUUAAAAAUCCUCUCCACAAUCAGUCAGAUUUGAAUGCGAUCGCGCAGGAGAACUGCAUUGUCAAUAUGCAGUACGCGACAUGACCUGUGAAUGUUAUGAGAAGAUUCCGAAAUGCCUGAGUUAAUUAGGUUUUUUGCUGGAGAACCUUUGCAGCAUAUAGUGCUUGUCCAGAGCAGAUUACUGAACAG
Leucoraja erinaceus (little skate) is the source of this 731-nucleotide long non-coding RNA. RefSeq lists it as uncharacterized. The transcript is spliced from 4 exons. The record is from RefSeq and is a predicted model, not a curated record. Lineage: Eukaryota; Metazoa; Chordata; Chondrichthyes; Rajiformes; Rajidae.